This 107-nucleotide small nuclear RNA is filed under the name Microcebus murinus (gray mouse lemur). Lineage: Eukaryota; Metazoa; Chordata; Mammalia; Primates; Cheirogaleidae. The record is from RNAcentral.
GUGCUCACUUCAGCAGCACAUAUACUAAAAUUAGAAAAAUACAGAGAAGAUUAGCAUGGCCCCUGUGCAAAGAUGACACACAAAUUUAUGAAGCAUUUUAUAUUUUU